Molecule: long non-coding RNA, 1279 nt
Filed under: Heterocephalus glaber (naked mole-rat)
Lineage: Eukaryota; Metazoa; Chordata; Mammalia; Rodentia; Bathyergidae
Description: lncRNA (ENSHGLG00100037610.1)
Source: RNAcentral
GCCAAUAGGUAGGAAUGGACCUUCUAGAAGAAGGGAAGUAAAUGUCCCACUUCACUUGGAUCACAGGUGAAUUCUGAGUGGGUGUGAAGUAACUGUCAAACAUACACAUCCAGAGGAAAGGCUGGAGUGCUGCAGAAAGUUGAAGCUGUCCUCUGAACAUAUUGAGUUAACUGGUGACGUUUUAUACAGAGAAAGGAAGAUUUAGGACACAUGACAUGGCUGAUUUCAAGUAUUUGAAAGACCAGCUUAGAAAAGCAGAGUGAAUAUGUUCUCCAGCAUCUGAGGAAACAAAACACAGCCAGCAGACGAAAGCUCGAUGAGGGAAGAUUUUGUCUGAUUGUAAAGAGGAGCUUUCUAGCAGUCACAGCGAUGCAGAGACUAAAGAGCUGCUCUGGGAGGUGGUGAGCAUUCUUUCACCAGGGACUCAAGUGGAGGCCACUGAGGGUUGAAAAGGGGAUUCAACACUGGUAGGAUAUUUGAAUCAAAAGAAGAGAAAAGACCCCAGAGUUUCCACGAGCACUGCUCCCCAGUUGACGGGAACUGAGCAGCUCUGCUCCACUACAUCCUUCUGCCAUGACAUUCCUACCUUGGAGCCAACUGACCAUGGACUGAAUCUCCUGAACUGUGAACCAUAUAACCUCUCUUCCUUAAAGCUGUGCGUGUUGGAUAUUGUGUCCUGCAGCUGGACUAAUGAGUUGACUAAUCCAUCAGCUGUGUGACGGCAGAGUCUGCCUGGCCUUGAGUGAUUUUCGCUUGCUCCAAGUUGUCCACCACUUUGUCAGGGUUUGAGAGAACAUCUGCUGCUUUCCUAAGUCCACAGGCACCAGAUACGGAGAUCUCUGGACUCAAAAACGCCUGGAGCAGAGUGAAGCAAGCUAGGGAGCCUUUAGCCCUCCGACUGCGCGGAGGCCCUGAGCAGUGGGCUGAAGACAAAUCAGCCGCCUCACCCCAAGGCCUCGGCCCCGCCCGAGCAAUCUCCCCUUUCUCCCCGUCAGGAAUCCGCCCUCCCUCCGGAGCUCAGACCCACCGCACCAUUGUCAUCUCACUUCGGUCACAUUCCUAGGGCAUUGGUGUGUGUUCCUUCCAUUUCUGCCACUAUAUAUUUUAAAAAUAGGUAUUCAUUUUUGUUUAGAUUUCCAAUGUACUACUCAUCAUAGGAAAUUUAGAGUACCAAAAAAAUGUAAAGAAGAAAAAAAUGCACCAGUAAUCCUACUACCUUAGACGAUAUUGGCAUAUUUGAGCAUUUUGUCCUAACUUCUUUUUCCUUUGCAUGACUGAG